ACGAACGCUGGCGGCGUGCUUAACACAUGCAAGUCGAACGGAAAGGCCCUGCUUGCAGGGUACUCGAGUGGCGAACGGGUGAGUAACACGUGGGUGAUCUGCCCUGCACUUCGGGAUAAGCCUGGGAAACUGGGUCUAAUACCGGAUAGGAGCCAUUUUUAGUGUGAUGGUUGGAAAGUUUUUUCGGUGUAGGAUGAGCUCGCGGCCUAUCAGCUUGUUGGUGGGGUAAUGGCCUACCAAGGCGGCGACGGGUAGCCGGCCUGAGAGGGUGGACGGCCACAUUGGGACUGAGAUACGGCCCAGACUCCUACGGAAGGCAGCAGUGGGGAAUAUUGCACAAUGGGCGCAAGCCUGAUGCAGCGACGCCGCGUGGGGGAUGACGGCCUUCGGGUUGUAAACUCCUUUCGCUAGGGACGAAGCUUUUUGUGACGGUACCUAGAUAAGAAGCACCGGCUAACUACGUG
This 464-nucleotide ribosomal RNA is filed under the name uncultured bacterium. RNAcentral describes it as "partial 16S ribosomal RNA". It matches the Rfam family "Bacterial small subunit ribosomal RNA", at positions 29 to 507 of the family's 1533-position model. The record is from RNAcentral.